This 401-nucleotide non-coding RNA is filed under the name Caenorhabditis japonica. RNAcentral's name for it is "Eukaryotic large subunit ribosomal RNA". It matches the Rfam family "Eukaryotic large subunit ribosomal RNA", at positions 1456 to 1888 of the family's 3401-position model. The record is from Rfam by way of RNAcentral. Lineage: Eukaryota; Metazoa; Nematoda; Chromadorea; Rhabditida; Rhabditidae.
GGUAGUAGCAAAUAUUCAAGUUCGAUCCUUGAAGACUGAAGUGGAGAAGGGUUUCACGUGAACAGUAGUUGGAUGUGGGUCAGUCGAUCCUAAGGUACUGGCGAACGCCUUGUAUCAUCGGUGGCGAAAAGCUUGCUUUUUGGAGUAUAAGCGCGGUAACGCGUUCGAACUUGGUUAGACGCUCAGAGACCGAGCUAGAGUUUUCUUCUCUAGUUAAGGAACGGACUCCCUGGAAUUGGUUCAGCCAGAGACGGAGACGUUGUUUCCGAAAAGCACCGCGGUUUCUGUGGUCUGUCGUGCUCUCUGAACGGCUCUUUAAACACCAAGGGAGGUUUGCUAUUAAUUUGCACUCAGUCGUACCGAUAUCCGCAUUAGGUCUCCAAUGUGAACAGCCUCUAGUC